ACCCUUCACUCUGGGACAAGCCCUGGAAACGGGGUCUAAUACCGGAUAACACCUGCCCGCGCAUCCGGGUGGGUUAAAUGCUCCGGCGGUGAAGGAUGAGCCCGCGGCCUAUCAGCUUGUUGGUGAGGUAGUGGCUCACCAAGGCGACGACGGGUAGCCGGCCUGAGAGGGCGACCGGCCACACUGGGACUGAGACACGGCCCAGACUCCUACGGGAGCCAGCAGUGGGGAAUAUUGCACAAUGGGCGAAAGCCUGAUGCAGCGUCGCCGCGUGAGGGAUGACGGCCUUCGGGUUGUAAACCUCUUUCAGC
RNAcentral lists this ribosomal RNA (311 nucleotides) under Streptomyces mirabilis. RNAcentral describes it as "bacterial SSU rRNA". It matches the Rfam family "Bacterial small subunit ribosomal RNA", at positions 128 to 440 of the family's 1533-position model. The record is from RNAcentral. Lineage: Bacteria; Bacillati; Actinomycetota; Actinomycetes; Kitasatosporales; Streptomycetaceae.